Long non-coding RNA from Rhipicephalus microplus (southern cattle tick), 752 nucleotides. RefSeq lists it as uncharacterized. NCBI's taxonomy places the organism in Eukaryota, Metazoa, Arthropoda, Arachnida, Ixodida, Ixodidae. The record is from RefSeq and is a predicted model, not a curated record.
AUUUAAAGGUGCAACCAUGUGUGAUACGCGUUUAUUUCUCGUUUUCUCAGUGUGCGUCAGCAGUGCAACAAUGAUAAUACGGGACGUAGUUUUUGUAGUUGUUCUUACCACGACUUAUAUCUUGCAAUAUGGCUUUUCGAUAUUUAUAAAGGAAAAUGAAUUGAAAGAGUUCUUAAGCACAACUGAUCCCAUAUGGACGUACAACACGAGCAGCAAAUGGGACAACCACUGGUGUGUGGUGGAUGUUACAGAACGACUUCAGGAAGAAAGUCUUGUAUACCAACAUACCUACUAUGUGAAGUUCCCGCAAAAGCAGAAGACUUCCGUCAAAAUGCAUGGCGUUUUUAAAUACCAAAACAACAUGAUUACUGGCAGAAAAGAUUCUAAAGUCUUAUUUAAAAACCAUCUUACAUAUCUUGAUUCAGAAAAUGUAUGUGCUGUCAUCCGUGUUUCUCCAAUGUUUCACACUAAAAUGAAGCCUUGGCAUGAGCUGCGAGUUCGGAACUCGUUCCUUGUAAAAUAUCGCCGUCCAUCAAUAACAUGCGAACACUAUUUUCAGCUCAAAGCAAAGCAAGGACGUCUUAUCUAUCAUCCCGUAUGCCAGAAAAUUAUUUUUAAAGCGCAUCAAAUGCCACAGAAGACCAUACCAUCACAGAAGCCGCAUACCGCAUUCAGAAACACCAGUGUUUGAAUUGCUAUGAUAGAGUGCAAGUAUUUUGUACAUAAACGGUAUGCUUAUUCUGGCAGCAAAA